GGGUUGUGAGGUUAAGCGACUAAGCGUACACGGUGGAUGCCCUGGCAGUCAGAGGCGAUGAAGGACGUGCUAAUCUGCGAUAAGCGUCGGUAAGGUGAUAUGAACCGUUAUAACCGGCGAUUUCCGAAUGGGGAAACCCAGUGUGUUUCGACACACUAUCAUUAACUGAAUCCAUAGGUUAAUGAGGCGAACCGGGGGAACUGAAACAUCUAAGUACCCCGAGGAAAAGAAAUCAACCGAGAUUCCCCCAGUAGCGGCGAGCGAACGGGGAGCAGCCCAGAGCCUGAAUCAGUGUGUGUGUUAGUGGAAGCGUCUGGAAAGGCGCGCGAUACAGGGUGACAGCCCCGUACACAAAAAUGCACAUGCUGUGAGCUCGAUGAGUAGGGCGGGACACGUGGUAUCCUGUCUGAAUAUGGGGGGACCAUCCUCCAAGGCUAAAUACUCCUGACUGACCGAUAGUGAACCAGUACCGUGAGGGAAAGGCGAAAAGAACCCCGGCGAGGGGAGUGAAAAAGAACCUGAAACCGUGUACGUACAAGCAGUGGGAGCACGCUUAGGCGUGUGACUGCGUACCUUUUGUAUAAUGGGUCAGCGACUUAUAUUCUGUAGCAAGGUUAACCGAAUAGGGGAGCCGAAGGGAAACCGAGUCUUAACUGGGCGUUAAGUUGCAGGGUAUAGACCCGAAACCCGGUGAUCUAGCCAUGGGCAGGUUGAAGGUUGGGUAACACUAACUGGAGGACCGAACCGACUAAUGUUGAAAAAUUAGCGGAUGACUUGUGGCUGGGGGUGAAAGGCCAAUCAAACCGGGAGAUAGCUGGUUCUCCCCGAAAGCUAUUUAGGUAGCGCCUCGUGAAUUCAUCUCCGGGGGUAGAGCACUGUUUCGGCAAGGGGGUCAUCCCGACUUACCAACCCGAUGCAAACUGCGAAUACCGGAGAAUGUUAUCACGGGAGACACACGGCGGGUGCUAACGUCCGUCGUGAAGAGGGAAACAACCCAGACCGCCAGCUAAGGUCCCAAAGUCAUGGUUAAGUGGGAAACGAUGUGGGAAGGCCCAGACAGCCAGGAUGUUGGCUUAGAAGCAGCCAUCAUUUAAAGAAAGCGUAAUAGCUCACUGGUCGAGUCGGCCUGCGCGGAAGAUGUAACGGGGCUAAACCAUGCACCGAAGCUGCGGCAGCGACGCUUAUGCGUUGUUGGGUAGGGGAGCGUUCUGUAAGCCUGUGAAGGUGUGCUGUGAGGCAUGCUGGAGGUAUCAGAAGUGCGAAUGCUGACAUAAGUAACGAUAAAGCGGGUGAAAAGCCCGCUCGCCGGAAGACCAAGGGUUCCUGUCCAACGUUAAUCGGGGCAGGGUGAGUCGACCCCUAAGGCGAGGCCGAAAGGCGUAGUCGAUGGGAAACAGGUUAAUAUUCCUGUACUUGGUGUUACUGCGAAGGGGGGACGGAGAAGGCUAUGUUGGCCGGGCGACGGUUGUCCCGGUUUAAGCGUGUAGGCUGGUUUUCCAGGCAAAUCCGGAAAAUCAAGGCUGAGGCGUGAUGACGAGGCACUACGGUGCUGAAGCAACAAAUGCCCUGCUUCCAGGAAAAGCCUCUAAGCAUCAGGUAACAUCAAAUCGUACCCCAAACCGACACAGGUGGUCAGGUAGAGAAUACCAAGGCGCUUGAGAGAACUCGGGUGAAGGAACUAGGCAAAAUGGUGCCGUAACUUCGGGAGAAGGCACGCUGAUAUGUAGGUGAAGCGACUUGCUCGUGGAGCUGAAAUCAGUCGAAGAUACCAGCUGGCUGCAACUGUUUAUUAAAAACACAGCACUGUGCAAACACGAAAGUGGACGUAUACGGUGUGACGCCUGCCCGGUGCCGGAAGGUUAAUUGAUGGGGUCAGCGCAAGCGAAGCUCUUGAUCGAAGCCCCGGUAAACGGCGGCCGUAACUAUAACGGUCCUAAGGUAGCGAAAUUCCUUGUCGGGUAAGUUCCGACCUGCACGAAUGGCGUAAUGAUGGCCAGGCUGUCUCCACCCGAGACUCAGUGAAAUUGAACUCGCUGUGAAGAUGCAGUGUACCCGCGGCAAGACGGAAAGACCCCGUGAACCUUUACUAUAGCUUGACACUGAACAUUGAGCCUUGAUGUGUAGGAUAGGUGGGAGGCUUUGAAGUGUGGACGCCAGUCUGCAUGGAGCCGACCUUGAAAUACCACCCUUUAAUGUUUGAUGUUCUAACGUUGACCCGUAAUCCGGGUUGCGGACAGUGUCUGGUGGGUAGUUUGACUGGGGCGGUCUCCUCCUAAAGAGUAACGGAGGAGCACGAAGGUUGGCUAAUCCUGGUCGGACAUCAGGAGGUUAGUGCAAUGGCAUAAGCCAGCUUGACUGCGAGCGUGACGGCGCGAGCAGGUGCGAAAGCAGGUCAUAGUGAUCCGGUGGUUCUGAAUGGAAGGGCCAUCGCUCAACGGAUAAAAGGUACUCCGGGGAUAACAGGCUGAUACCGCCCAAGAGUUCAUAUCGACGGCGGUGUUUGGCACCUCGAUGUCGGCUCAUCACAUCCUGGGGCUGAAGUAGGUCCCAAGGGUAUGGCUGUUCGCCAUUUAAAGUGGUACGCGAGCUGGGUUUAGAACGUCGUGAGACAGUUCGGUCCCUAUCUGCCGUGGGCGCUGGAGAACUGAGGGGGGCUGCUCCUAGUACGAGAGGACCGGAGUGGACGCAUCACUGGUGUUCGGGUUGUCAUGCCAAUGGCACUGCCCGGUAGCUAAAUGCGGAAGAGAUAAGUGCUGAAAGCAUCUAAGCACGAAACUUGCCCCGAGAUGAGUUCUCCCUGACCCUUUAAGGGUCCUGAAGGAACGUUGAAGACGACGACGUUGAUAGGCCGGGUGUGUAAGCGCAGCGAUGCGUUGAGCUAACCGGUACUAAUGAACCGUGAGGCUUAACCUUACAACGCCGAAG
RNAcentral lists this ribosomal RNA (2925 nucleotides) under Escherichia coli. Its description in RNAcentral is "bacterial LSU rRNA". It matches the Rfam family "Bacterial large subunit ribosomal RNA". The record is from RNAcentral. Lineage: Bacteria; Pseudomonadati; Pseudomonadota; Gammaproteobacteria; Enterobacterales; Enterobacteriaceae.